Molecule: long non-coding RNA, 555 nt
Organism: Pseudopipra pipra
Lineage: Eukaryota; Metazoa; Chordata; Aves; Passeriformes; Pipridae
Exons: 2
Source: RefSeq, a predicted model, not a curated record
GUUUACAAACUGUCUUUCCACAUCCCACUGGAUGAGAAGACAGGAGAGAGGAUGGAUCCCAGGGACAGGACUUCUGCCCUUCAGUCACUCCCAGAAGACACAGCUAGUUAGGUAUAAUUCUGCAACAAAUCCAUUACUCCAAAACAAGUCCCUGAUCCUGCCAGCGACUUUUAAUGAUGCAAAUGUACCAAGGGAAGCCAUGGCAGAAGCUACUGGUGUUAAUAUGGGGCAACAAGCGAGAGUGGAGACCAAAUAAAAACGAGGAUGGGGUCAAGCCCUGAAAUGUGCAGUGGAGCUCUAGCCCUCCUCUUCAGUCCCAUGGCUGUUUCUGCCAAGGGCCUGGGAGAAAGCCAGGUGACAAUGUGUGACAGAGGAGGAGACAUCAGCUGUAACCAGACUCAUGAGGGCAAAACCUCUUUUCUCCCUCCUUACCCCUCAACUACUUAACUAUGCCAUAUUUUUUAAAAAAAUUGUUUGUCAACACUCUUCACCUGCGUGAAAAACUCAGUGGUACAGUAACAGUAGUUUAGUAAAUAAAGUCCCACAUUAAAGAAA